Molecule: ribosomal RNA, 835 nt
Filed under: bacterium C-TJ35
Lineage: Bacteria
Description: bacterial SSU rRNA
Rfam family: Bacterial small subunit ribosomal RNA
Source: RNAcentral
UGCAGUCGAGCGAACAGAUAGGAGCUUGCUCCUUUGACGUUAGCGGCGGACGGGUGAGUAACACGUGGGUAACCUACCUAUAAGACUGGGAUAACUUCGGGAAACCGGAGCUAAUACCGGAUAACAUUUGGAACCGCAUGGUUCUAAAGUGAAAGAUGGUUUUGCUAUCACUUAUAGAUGGACCCGCGCCGUAUUAGCUAGUUGGUAAGGUAACGGCUUACCAAGGCAACGAUACGUAGCCGACCUGAGAGGGUGAUCGGCCACACUGGAACUGAGACACGGUCCAGACUCCUACGGGAGGCAGCAGUAGGGAAUCUUCCGCAAUGGGCGAAAGCCUGACGGAGCAACGCCGCGUGAGUGAUGAAGGGUUUCGGCUCGUAAAACUCUGUUAUUAGGGAAGAACAAAUGUGUAAGUAACUGUGCACAUCUUGACGGUACCUAAUCAGAAAGCCACGGCUAACUACGUGCCAGCAGCCGCGGUAAUACGUAGGUGGCAAGCGUUAUCCGGAAUUAUUGGGCGUAAAGCGCGCGUAGGCGGUUUCUUAAGUCUGAUGUGAAAGCCCACGGCUCAACCGUGGAGGGUCAUUGGAAACUGGGAAACUUGAGUGCAGAAGAGGAAAGUGGAAUUCCAUGUGUAGCGGUGAAAUGCGCAGAGAUAUGGAGGAACACCAGUGGCGAAGGCGACUUUCUGGUCUGUAACUGACGCUGAUGUGCGAAAGCGUGGGGAUCAAACAGGAUUAGAUACCCUGGUAGUCCACGCCGUANACGAUGAGUGCUAAGUGUUAGGGGGUUUCCGCCCCUUAGUGCUGCAGCUAACGCAUUAAGCACUCCGCCU